RNAcentral lists this transfer RNA (70 nucleotides) under Henosepilachna pusillanima. RNAcentral's name for it is "tRNA-Asp". The record is from RNAcentral. Lineage: Eukaryota; Metazoa; Arthropoda; Insecta; Coleoptera; Coccinellidae.
AAAAAUUUAGUUAACUUAUAACAUUAGUAUGUCAAACUAAAAUAAUUAAACCAGAAAUUAAUAAUUUUUA